Centrocercus urophasianus (Greater sage-grouse) is the source of this 1102-nucleotide long non-coding RNA. RefSeq lists it as uncharacterized. The record is from RefSeq and is a predicted model, not a curated record. The transcript is spliced from 6 exons. Lineage: Eukaryota; Metazoa; Chordata; Aves; Galliformes; Phasianidae.
CUGCAGCCCUGUGCCAGAUGAGGCCAAGAGGCAUACAGGAGAAGCUGUCCAGUUGGUGGAUGUUUCCUGCCCUCUGCUGUUCAGCUGGAGAGAUGUCCCAGGUUCUCCAAGGACAUCAGGACAAAUAUAUUUAACCAAAAUCAGUCCAGGCUGGCUGUAUCUGUGGGCAUCAGCUGCUGGCAUGCAUUGGUGACUUGACUGUUGAAGACAGAGAGUAGCAAGAGCUGCAACCCUGUGUCACAUGAGGCCAUGAGGCAUACAGGAGAAGCUGUCCAGUUGGUGGACCUUUACUGCCCUCUGCUGUUCAGCUGGCGAGAUGUCCCACCUUCUCCAAGGACAUCAUGUCAAAGAUACGUAACGAAAAUCAGUCCAGGCUGGCUGUAUUUGUGGGCCUCAGCUGCUGGCCUCUCCCUUGGUGAUGUCAUGUGCAUGGUAUGGCACAGCAGGUACAAUGUUGACAGUUGCCAUUGUCCCUCAGGCACUUGUGACUUGAAGGUCAUAGAGACAGAAUAGAAACAGCUGCAGCCCUUUGCCAGAUGAGGGCAAGCUGAGCACAACUGAGCUCUGCAAAGCUUUCCUGAGGAAAAAAUAUUCAUAUAUACAGAAAUACUCUUCUCCUGAUAAACAGCCUUCCUAGGAUGAGAUAUUUCUCUUCAAAGAUCCAAGACUGCUAAGAAUAAGAACAAGGACUGACAUCCUUGACAUGAGGGUACAAAUCCAAAUCAGUAACCAAUUAGGAGAGACUAUGUGCCCUUGUGCACAAACAUAGACAAAGUGAAGAGUGGGAUAUCUCCCUUUGGCAACUGAAAGCUACUGAGGACACCCCUGUGAGUGCAGAAGAUUUAAAUACGUUGUGCAACCUUGUACUUGUAUAAUGCUAUGCACAUGUAAUAGGUAGGUGUGACUAAUGUAUUAGAUAGGCAUACAGUGAAAACUUUUUGAUUAUAAAUAGAAGCCAGUGUAAAGUCUUGGUUUGCUUGAUUUUGAGUGUAUUCCACUGUGUGCCCUGCACAGACUAAGUCAGUGUCUCCUCUCUAAAGAACUGUCUUUUUGAAUGUGUUUCAGGAGAUUUAAAAUUGAGAACAGAUUUACAAAGUAUCUU